RNAcentral lists this ribosomal RNA (1372 nucleotides) under human gut metagenome. Its description in RNAcentral is "bacterial LSU rRNA". It matches the Rfam family "Bacterial large subunit ribosomal RNA", at positions 1129 to 2482 of the family's 2925-position model. The record is from RNAcentral.
AGUGCGUAACAGCUCACUGGUCGAGUGGACAUGCGCCGACAAUACACGGGGCUAAGCUGGACACCGAAGCGGCGGGAUUUUAAUUCAUUAGAAUCGGUAGGGGAGCUUCCCAUGGGCGGAGAAGCCGGAGGGCGACCGACGGUGGAGCGCAUGGGAGUGAGAAUGCUGGCAUGAGUAGCGAGAGACGAGAGAGUAACUCGUCCGCCGUGAACCCGAGGUUUCCUGGGCAAGGCUAAUCCUCCCAGGGUCAGUCGGGGGCUAAGGCGAGGCCGGGAGGCGUAGCCGACGCGCAGCAGGCAGACAUUCCUGCACCGCGCACGCGGCGCUACGACCGACGGGGCGACGGAUGGGGGUGGCUCGGCGGGGUUCUGGACGUCCCCGUGAUGGAGCGCGGCCCGCGGACCAGGGAAAUCCGGUCCGCACACAGGGCGAGGCUCCGGACGAAGCGACUGAGCGAAGCGAGUGAGCCCGAGGUCCCUAGAAAAACCCCUAGGCAGGCGCGUGCGCGCCCGUACCGCAAACCGACACAGGUGGGUGGGUAGAACAUACCGAGGCGAUCGGGUCAACCAUGGUCAAGGAACUCGGCACAAUGGCCCCGUAACUUCGGGAGAAGGGGUGCCCGCGCGUACGUGAACCGGCUUGCCCGGGGAGCGGAGGCGGGCCGCAGUGGAGAGGCCCAAGCGACUGUUUACCAAAAACACAGGACUCUGCAGAAGCCGCAAGGCGACGUAUAGGGUCUGACGCCUGCCCGGUGCCGGAAGGUCACGCGGAGGAGUUAGCCAUUUCGGCGAAGCCCCGAAGCCAAGCCCCGGUAAACGGCGGCCGUAACUAUAACGGUCCUAAGGUAGCGAAAUUCCUUGUCGGGUAAGUUCCGACCUGCACGAAUGGCGUAACGACUUGGGCGCUGUCUCAACCAUGGACCCGGUGAAAUUGUAUUGGUCGUGAAGAUGCGACUUACCCGCGGAAGGACGGAAAGACCCCGUGAACCUUCACUGCAGCUUGGCAUUGGCCGCUGGUCCCGCGUGUAGAGGAUAGGCAGGAGGCAUCGAUCCGGAGGCGCCAGCCCCCGGGGAGCCGCCCUUGGAAUACUGCCCUCGCGCGACCGGCGUCCUAACCCGAGGCCGUCAACCGGCUCGGGGACCGUGCCAGGCGGGCAGUUUGACUGGGGCGGUCGCCUCCUAAAGGGUAACGGAGGCGCGCGAAGGUCCGCUCGGGACGGUCGGCAACCGUCCUUUUGAAUGCAAGAGUACAAGCGGGCUUGACUGCGAGGCCCACAAGCCGAGCAGGUGCGAAAGCAGGCUCUAGUGAUCCGGCGGCCCCGAGUGGGUGGGCCGUCGCUCAACGGAUAAAAGGUACUCCGGGGAUAACAGGC